This 342-nucleotide ribosomal RNA is filed under the name uncultured Sphingobacteriales bacterium. RNAcentral's name for it is "bacterial SSU rRNA". It matches the Rfam family "Bacterial small subunit ribosomal RNA", at positions 1042 to 1382 of the family's 1533-position model. The record is from RNAcentral. Lineage: Bacteria; Pseudomonadati; Bacteroidota; Sphingobacteriia; Sphingobacteriales.
UGCAUGGUUGUCGUCAGCUCGUGCCGUGAGGUGUCGGGUUAAGUCCCAUAACGAGCGCAACCCUUAUCGUUAGUUGCCAGCUGGUAAAGCAGGGGACUCUAGCGAAACUGCCACCGUAAGGUGAGAGGAAGGUGGGGAUGACGUCAAAUCAGCACGGCCCUUAUGUCCAGGGCUACACACGUGUUACAAUGGCCGGCACAGAGGGCAGCUACCUGGUGACAGGGAUGCUAAUCUCGAAAACCGGUCUCAGUUCGGAUCGAAGUCUGCAACUCGACUUCGUGAAGCUGGAUUCGCUAGUAAUCGCGCAUCAGCCAUGGCGCGGUGAAUACGUUCCCGGGCCUU